RNAcentral lists this long non-coding RNA (633 nucleotides) under Anas platyrhynchos platyrhynchos (common mallard). RNAcentral's name for it is "lncRNA (ENSAPLG00000026627.1)". Lineage: Eukaryota; Metazoa; Chordata; Aves; Anseriformes; Anatidae. The record is from RNAcentral.
GUCAACCUGUAUUUGAUUGUAUUCUAAUGUUACCUGUUUACUAAAGGAGUAAGUUUUCAUGUACAUGUGAGUGUAUGCUUCUGUACCUCAAAUCCUUUAGUUAAUUUGAUUUUUUAAUUCUUGUCACCUACUAACAGGAGGCUUCACAUGCUAUACAUACUACCCAUAUUCUGACCAAGAGGAUAAGCAGCCUGAGAAGGAAAGAGAUACGAGGAAAGGAAAGUUCUUGAUCAGACUGUUUUUCCAGUGUCUCUUGAGGGCCUGGCCUCACUUACAGAAGUUUUUUUUUCUGAUGCCUGAGUGCGCCUCUCCAUCAACUGUUUCUUUCAACAUACUUGAUGUCAUCUGGGAUCAUCAUUCAAGAAUCCUUUCAGUUCUGCCUUGCUCAUUACUGAGGUACAUGGUCACUUUUCUUUCUUAUUUUUCAACAAUUUUUUUAUCAACUGCUGGAUUUUCUAAUCACAACUGUAAAGAAAUAAGGAUAAGGCCUCAAUGACAUCAGUUGAAGGCUGUCAAUUAAUGACAGCUGAAGGUCUGGCCAUCUCAUUCUCCAUGGCUUGCCUUUAAAUUCAUAAGUUUGUCUGCUGUUAUCUAUAAUUUAACUCUGUCACUGUUUCUUUUAACUGUGUAAAU